This 76-nucleotide transfer RNA is filed under the name Leifsonia xyli. RNAcentral's name for it is "tRNA-Ala". It matches the Rfam family "tRNA". From Rfam's summary of the family: Transfer RNA (tRNA) molecules are approximately 80 nucleotides in length. Their secondary structure includes four short double-helical elements and three loops (D, anti-codon, and T loops). The record is from RNAcentral. RNAcentral also lists the same sequence under 10 other names. Lineage: Bacteria; Bacillati; Actinomycetota; Actinomycetes; Micrococcales; Microbacteriaceae.
GGGGCCUUAGCUCAGUUGGUAGAGCGCCUGCUUUGCAAGCAGGAUGUCAGGAGUUCGAAUCUCCUAGGCUCCACCC